GACGAACGCUGGCGGCGUGCCUAAUACAUGCAAGUAGAACGCUGAAGCGAGGAGCUUGCUCUUCUUGGAUGAGUUGCGAACGGGUGAGUAACGCGUAGGUAACCUGCCUUGUAGCGGGGGAUAACUAUUGGAAACGAUAGCUAAUACCGCAUAACAAUGGAUGACACAUGUCAUUUAUUUGAAAGGGGCAAUUGCUCCACUACAAGAUGGACCUGCGCUGUAUUAGCUAGUAGGUGAGGUAAUGGCUCACCUAGGCGACGAUACAUAGCCGACCUGAGAGGGUGGUCGGCCACACUGGGACUGAGACACGGCCCAGACUCCUACGGGAGGCAGCAGUAGGGAAUCUUCGGCAAUGGGGGCAACCCUGACCGAGAAACGCCGCGUGAGUGAAGAAGGUUUUCGGAUCGUAAAGCUCUGUUGUAAGUCAAGAACGGGUGUGAGAGUGGAAAGUUCACACUGUGACGGUAGCUUACCAGAAAGGGACGGCUAACUACGUG
RNAcentral lists this ribosomal RNA (497 nucleotides) under uncultured bacterium. RNAcentral describes it as "partial 16S ribosomal RNA". It matches the Rfam family "Bacterial small subunit ribosomal RNA", at positions 28 to 507 of the family's 1533-position model. The record is from RNAcentral.